Molecule: ribosomal RNA, 632 nt
Filed under: Salmonella enterica subsp. enterica serovar Typhimurium
Lineage: Bacteria; Pseudomonadati; Pseudomonadota; Gammaproteobacteria; Enterobacterales; Enterobacteriaceae
Also listed under: 1 other name
Description: partial 23S ribosomal RNA
Rfam family: Bacterial large subunit ribosomal RNA
Source: RNAcentral
GGGUUGUGAGGUUAAGCGACUAAGCGUACACGGUGGAUGCCCUGGCAGUCAGAGGCGAUGAAGGACGUGCUAAUCUGCGAUAAGCGCCGGUAAGGUGAUAUGAACCGUUAUAACCGGCGAUUUCCGAAUGGGGAAACCCAGUGUGAUUCGUCACACUAUCAUUAACUGAAUCCAUAGGUUAAUGAGGCGAACCGGGGGAACUGAAACAUCUAAGUACCCCGAGGAAAAGAAAUCAACCGAGAUUCCCCCAGUAGCGGCGAGCGAACGGGGAGGAGCCCAGAGCCUGAAUCAGCAUGUGUGUUAGUGGAAGCGUCUGGAAAGGCGCGCGAUACAGGGUGACAGCCCCGUACACAAAAGCGCAUGUGCUGUGAGCUCGAUGAGUAGGGCGGGACACGUGGUAUCCUGUCUGAAUAUGGGGGGACCAUCCUCCAAGGCUAAAUACUCCUGACUGACCGAUAGUGAACCAGUACCGUGAGGGAAAGGCGAAAAGAACCCCGGCGAGGGGAGUGAAAAAGAACCUGAAACCGUGUACGUACAAGCAGUGGGAGCACCCUUCGGGGUGUGACUGCGUACCUUUUGUAUAAUGGGUCAGCGACUUAUAUUCUGUAGCAAGGUUAACCGUAUAGGGGAGC